AAUAUUCUAUUGGCUAAUUAACCAAUUUUUCAAAAAAAUAACUUCAUACUAACCGGAUCCCUUAUAUACCAAACUUUAUAUUUUUUAAUCAUUUCUUCCAACACCCUUAUUCUUACUUGUUGAAUGAAUUGGGGAGUCAAAUUGUCCAAAUGGCUGGAUGAAAAAAAUAUAUUAGUUGGUUAGGUAAACCAAACAAUUUUCAAGUAGCUGCAGGUAAGAAUUCCUCCUACUCCAUAUCAGAACGUACAUGACUAAAUCUGUAAUUUACAGUUGGGNNN
RNAcentral lists this long non-coding RNA (278 nucleotides) under Panax ginseng (ginseng). RNAcentral describes it as "long non-coding RNA (PGIN_LNC010979)". Lineage: Eukaryota; Viridiplantae; Streptophyta; Magnoliopsida; Apiales; Araliaceae. The record is from RNAcentral.